CCUUCGAUAGCUCAGUUGGUAGAGCGGAGGACUGUAGAUCCUUAGGUCGCUGGUUCAAAUCCGGCUCGAAGAA
Molecule: transfer RNA, 73 nt
Filed under: Saccoglossus kowalevskii
Lineage: Eukaryota; Metazoa; Hemichordata; Enteropneusta; Harrimaniidae
Description: tRNA-Tyr
Rfam family: tRNA
About the family: Transfer RNA (tRNA) molecules are approximately 80 nucleotides in length. Their secondary structure includes four short double-helical elements and three loops (D, anti-codon, and T loops). Further hydrogen bonds mediate the characteristic L-shaped molecular structure. tRNAs have two regions of fundamental functional importance: the anti-codon, which is responsible for specific mRNA codon recognition, and the 3' end, to which the tRNAs corresponding amino acid is attached (by aminoacyl-tRNA synthetases). tRNAs cope with the degeneracy of the genetic code in two manners: having more than one tRNA (with a specific anti-codon) for a particular amino acid; and 'wobble' base-pairing, i.e. permitting non-standard base-pairing at the 3rd anti-codon position.
Source: RNAcentral